This 484-nucleotide ribosomal RNA is filed under the name uncultured bacterium. Its description in RNAcentral is "partial 16S ribosomal RNA". It matches the Rfam family "Bacterial small subunit ribosomal RNA", at positions 30 to 507 of the family's 1533-position model. The record is from RNAcentral.
AUUGAACGCUGGCGGCAGGCCUAACACAUGCAAGUCGAGCGGAUGAAGGGAGCUUGCUCCUGGAUUCAGCGGCGGACGGGUGAGUAAUGCCUAGGAAUCUGCCUGGUAGUGGGGGAUAACGUCCGGAAACGGGCGCUAAUACCGCAUACGUCCUGAGGGAGAAAGUGGGGGAUCUUCGGACCUCACGCUAUCAGAUGAGCCUAGGUCGGAUUAGCUAGUUGGUGGGGUAAAGGCCUACCAAGGCGACGAUCCGUAACUGGUCUGAGAGGAUGAUCAGUCACACUGGAACUGAGACACGGUCCAGACUCCUACGAGAGGCAGCAGUGGGGAAUAUUGGACAAUGGGCGAAAGCAUGAUCCAGCCAUGCCGCGUGUGUGAAGAAGGUCUUCGGAUUGUAAAGCACUUUAAGUUGGGAGGAAGGGCAGUAAGUUAAUACCUUGCUGUUUUGACGUUACCAACAGAAUAAGCACCGGCUAACUUCGUG